Molecule: ribosomal RNA, 617 nt
Filed under: uncultured bacterium
Lineage: Bacteria
Description: bacterial SSU rRNA
Rfam family: Bacterial small subunit ribosomal RNA
Source: RNAcentral
CCUACGGGAGGCAGCAGUGGGGAAUUUUGGACAAUGGGCGAAAGCCUGAUCCAGCAAUGCCGCGUGUGGGAAGAAGGCCUUCGGGUUGUAAACCACUUUUGUACGGAACGAAACGGCUCGCUUUAAUACAGCGGGCUAAUGACGGUACCGUAAGAAUAAGCACCGGCUAACUACGUGCCAGCAGCCGCGGUAAUACGUAGGGUGCGAGCGUUAAUCGGAAUUACUGGGCGUAAAGCGUGCGCAGGCGGUUAUAUAAAGACAGUUGUGAAAUCCCCGGGCUCAACCUGGGAAUUGCAUCUGUGACUGUAUAGCUAGAGUACGGUAGAGGGGGAUGGAAUUCCGCGUGUAGCAGUGAAAUGCGUAGAUAUGCGGAGGAACACCGAUGGCGAAGGCAAUCCCCUGGACCUGUGCUGACGCUCAUGCACGAAGGCGUGGGGAGCAAACAGGAUUAGAUACCCUGGUAGUCCACGCCCUAAACGAUGUCAACUGGUUGUUGGGUGCAUUAGUACUCAGUAACGAAGNUAACGCGUGAAGUUGACCGCCUGGGGAUACGGCCGCAAGUUGAAACUCAAGGAAUUGACGGCGNGAGACGACGACGAGACGACGAGAGGAGGAGG